RNAcentral lists this ribosomal RNA (433 nucleotides) under uncultured bacterium. Its description in RNAcentral is "partial 16S ribosomal RNA". It matches the Rfam family "Bacterial small subunit ribosomal RNA", at positions 29 to 507 of the family's 1533-position model. The record is from RNAcentral.
AACGAACGCUGGCGGCAUGCCUAACACAUGCAAGUCGAACGAGACCUUCGGGUCUAGUGGCGCACGGGUGCGUAACGCGUGGGAACCUGCCCUUAGGUUCGGAAUACCUCCCCGAAAGGGGUGCUAAUACCGGAUAAUGUCUUCGGACCAAAGAUUUAUCGCCUUUGGAUGGGCCCGCGUUGGAUUAGCUAGUUGGUAGGGUAAAAGCCUACUAAGGCGACGAUCCAUAGCUGGUCUGAGAGGAUGAUCAGCCACACUGGGACUGAGACACGGCCCAGACUCCUACGGGAAGCAGGAGUGGGGAAUAUUGGACAAUGGGCGAAAGCCUGAUCCAGCAAUGCCGCGUGAGUGAUGAAGGCCGUAGGGUUGUAAAGCGCUUUUACCCGGGAUGAUAAUGACAGUACCGGGAGAAUAAGCUCCGGCUAACUCCGUG